UACAGGGGGGGCAAGCGUUGUUCGGAAUUACUGGGCGUAAAGGGCUCGUAGGCGGCCAACUAAGUCAGACGUGAAAUCCCUAGGCUCAACCUAGGAACUGCGUCUGAUACUGGAUGGCUUGAAUCCGGGAGAGGGAUGCAGAAUUCCAGGUGUAGCGGUGAAAUGCGUAGAUAUCUGGAGGAAUACCGGUGGCGAAGGCGGCAUCCUGGACCGGCAUUGACGCUGAGGAGCGAAAGCUAGGGGAGCGAACGGG
Molecule: ribosomal RNA, 253 nt
Filed under: uncultured bacterium
Lineage: Bacteria
Description: partial 16S ribosomal RNA
Rfam family: Bacterial small subunit ribosomal RNA
Source: RNAcentral